RNAcentral lists this ribosomal RNA (523 nucleotides) under Yersinia sp. (in: enterobacteria). RNAcentral's name for it is "bacterial SSU rRNA". It matches the Rfam family "Bacterial small subunit ribosomal RNA", at positions 563 to 1080 of the family's 1533-position model. The record is from RNAcentral. Lineage: Bacteria; Pseudomonadati; Pseudomonadota; Gammaproteobacteria; Enterobacterales; Yersiniaceae.
AAGCGCACGCAGGCGGUUUGUUAAGUCAGAUGUGAAUCCCCGCGCUUAACGUGGGGAACUGCAUUUGAACUGGCAAGCUAGAGGUCUUGUAGAGGGGGGUAGAAUUCCAGGUGUAGCGGUGAAAUGCGUAGAGAUCUGGAGGAAUACCGGUGGCGAAGGCGGCCCCCUGGACAAAGACUGACGCUCAGGUGCGAAAGCGUGGGGAGCAAACAGGAUUAGAUACCCUGGUAGUCCACGCUGUAAACGAUGUCGACUUGGAGGUUGUGCCCUUGAGGCGUGGCUUCCGGGAGCUAACGCGUUAAGUCGACCGCCUGGGGGAGUACGGCCGCAAGGUUAAAACUCAAAUGAAUUGACGGGGGCCCGCACAAGCGGUGGAGCAUGUGGGUUUAAUUCGAUGCACGCGAAGAAACCUUACCUACUCUUGGACAUCCACAGAAUUCGGCAGAGAUGCCUUAGUGCCUUCGGGAACUGUGGAGACAGGUGCUGGAUGGCUGUCGUCAGCUCGUGUUGUGAAAUGUUGGGU